RNAcentral lists this ribosomal RNA (476 nucleotides) under uncultured organism. RNAcentral describes it as "partial 16S ribosomal RNA". It matches the Rfam family "Bacterial small subunit ribosomal RNA", at positions 330 to 797 of the family's 1533-position model. The record is from RNAcentral.
CGUACACUCCUGCGGGAGGCAGCAGUGGGGAAUAUUGCACAAUGGGCGCAAGCCUGAUGCAGCCAUGCCGCGUGUAUGAAGAAGGCCUUCGGGUUGUAAAGUACUUUCAGCGGGGAGGAAGGCGAUAAGGUUAAUAACCUUGUCGAUUGACGUUACCCGCAGAAGAAGCACCGGCUAACUCCGUGCCAGCAGCCGCGGUAAUACGGAGGGUGCAAGCGUUAAUCGGAAUUACUGGGCGUAAAGCGCACGCAGGCGGUCUGUCAAGUCGGAUGUGAAAUCCCCGGGCUCAACCUGGGAACUGCAUUCGAAACUGGCAGGCUAGAGUCUUGUAGAGGGGGGUAGAAUUCCAGGUGUAGCGGUGAAAUGCGUAGAGAUCUGGAGGAAUACCGGUGGCGAAGGCGGCCCCCUGGACAAAGACUGACGCUCAGGUGCGAAAGCGUGGGGAGCAAACAGGAUUAGAAACCCCUGUAGUCCCA